RNAcentral lists this ribosomal RNA (455 nucleotides) under uncultured bacterium. RNAcentral describes it as "bacterial SSU rRNA". It matches the Rfam family "Bacterial small subunit ribosomal RNA", at positions 340 to 786 of the family's 1533-position model. The record is from RNAcentral.
UACGGAAGGCAGCAGUGGGGAAUAUUGCACAAUGGGCGAAAGCCUGAUGCAGCUAUGCCGCGUGUAUGAAGAAGGCCUUAGGGUUGUAAAGUACUUUCAUCGGGGAGGAAAAACAAAACUAAUAAUUUUAUUUCUUGACGUUACCCGAAAAAGAAGCACCGGCUAACUCCGUGCCAGCAGCCGCGGUAAUACGGAGGGUGCUAGCGUUAAUCAGAAUUACUGGGCGUAAAGAGCACGUAGGUGGUUUUUUUAAGUCAGAUGUGAAAUCCCUGGGCUUAACCUAGGAACUGCAUUUUGAAACUGAAAUACUAGAGUAUCGUAGAGGGAGGUAGAAUUCUAGGUGUAGCGGUGAAAUGCGUAGAUAUCUGGAGGAUACCUGUGGCGAAAGCGGCCUCCUAAACGAAUACUGACACUGAGGGUGCGAAAGCGUGGGGAGCAAACAGGGAUUAGAUACC